AGGACGAACGCUGGCGGCGUGCCUAACACAUGCAAGUCGAACGAGGUCCAUGGAGUGGCAACACUUCGGAAGACCUAGUGGCGAACGGGUGAGUAACACGUGAGGAACCUACCCCGGAGACCGGGAUAACUCUUCGAAAGGAGAGCUAAUACCGGAUACCCCCAUCGGAUCGCAUGGUCUGAUGAGGAAAUGGAUUCCGCUCCGGGCGGGCCUCGCGGCCCAUCAGCUUGUUGGCGAGGUAAUGGCUCACCAAGGCGACGAUCGGUAGCUGGUCUGAGAGGAUGACCAGCAUCACUGGGACUGAGACACGGCCCAGACUCCUACGGGAGGCAGCAGUGGGGAAUAUUGGACAAUGGGCGCAAGCCUGAUCCAGCCAUGCCGCGUGGAUGAUGAAGGCCUUAGGGUUGUAAAGUCCUUUUAACGGGGAAGAUAAUGACGGUACCGUAGAAUAAGCCCCGGCUAACUUCGUGCCAGCAGCCGC
This 481-nucleotide ribosomal RNA is filed under the name uncultured bacterium. Its description in RNAcentral is "SSU rRNA". It matches the Rfam family "Bacterial small subunit ribosomal RNA", at positions 26 to 518 of the family's 1533-position model. The record is from RNAcentral.